This 450-nucleotide ribosomal RNA is filed under the name uncultured bacterium. Its description in RNAcentral is "bacterial SSU rRNA". It matches the Rfam family "Bacterial small subunit ribosomal RNA", at positions 330 to 795 of the family's 1533-position model. The record is from RNAcentral.
UCCAGACUCCUACGGGAGGCAGCAGUGGGGAAUAUUGCACAAUGGGGGGAACCCUGAUGCAGCGAUGCCGCGUGGAGGAAGAAGGUUUUCGGAUUGUAAACUCCUUUUAUCAGGGACGAUAAUGACGGUACCUGAAGAAAAAGCUCCGGCUAACUACGUGCCAGCAGCCGCGGUCAUACGUAGGAUCCGAGCAUUAUCCGGAGUGACUGGGUGUAAAGAGUUGCGUAGGUGGCAUAGUAAGUAGCUAGUGAAAUCUGGUGGCUCAACCAUUCAGACUAUUAGCUAAACUGCUAAGCUCGAGACCGUUAGGGGUAACUGGAAUUUCUAGUGUAGGAGUGAAAUCCGUAGAUAUUAGAAGGAACACCGAUAGCGUAGGCAGGUUACUGGGACGGUUCUGACACUAAGGCACGAAAGCGUAGGGAGCAAACGGGAUUAGAUACCCCCGUAAUG